This 216-nucleotide ribosomal RNA is filed under the name uncultured bacterium. RNAcentral describes it as "partial 16S ribosomal RNA". It matches the Rfam family "Bacterial small subunit ribosomal RNA", at positions 1277 to 1500 of the family's 1533-position model. The record is from RNAcentral.
UAAAACCCCUCUCAGUUCGGACUGGAGUCUGCAACCCGACUCCACGAAGCUGGAUUCGCUAGUAAUCGCGCAUCAGCCACGGCGCGGUGAAUACGUUCCCGGGCCUUGUACACACCGCCCGUCAAGCCAUGGGAGCCGGGGGUACCUGAAGUGCGUAACCGCGAGGAUCGCCCUAGGGUAAAACUGGUGACUGGGGCUAAGUCGUAACAAGGUACC